This 301-nucleotide ribosomal RNA is filed under the name uncultured bacterium. RNAcentral describes it as "partial 16S ribosomal RNA". It matches the Rfam family "Bacterial small subunit ribosomal RNA", at positions 509 to 807 of the family's 1533-position model. The record is from RNAcentral.
CAGCCGCCGCGGGAAUACGAAGGGGGCUAGCGUUGUUCGGAAUUACUGGGCGUAAAGCGCACGUAGGCGGACAUUUAAGUCAGGGGUGAAAUCCCGGGGCUCAACCCCGGAACUGCCUUUGAUACUGGGUGUCUAGAGUAUGGAAGAGGUGAGUGGAAUUCCGAGUGUAGAGGUGAAAUUCGUAGAUAUUCGGAGGAACACCAGUGGCGAAGGCGGCUCACUGGUCCAUUACUGACGCUGAGGUGCGAAAGCGUGGGGAGCAAACAGGAUUAGAUACCCGAGUAGUCCCUGUCUCUUAUAC